CUCCCCUCCUUUUAGCUCUUGGUUUAAAAUAAGAAAGAACAUAAAAAGCAACAAAAAACAACAACGUGGAGAGUUUCUAAAUUCCUCAAGGAUCCCCUGCCAAGAACUGGAGCCAGCUACUACCAGGAGGUAGAAGUGGAAUCCCGGCUUCUGCUUGUCUGCUUGUGAUUUACAGAUGUGCAUCCAAUCUCGGUUUUGGAAUGGGAUGGGUAUAGAGUAUCCUCACCUUGAUCGCCUUCUCUUACCCGCUCCAAAGCAUUGGUCUCACAGCAGCAAGGGGAGCCUUUUUAAAUGGCAGAUCUCAUCACCAUGGUGCUUACGGCCCCGUGGAGUCAAGUCUAAGCUUGUGGAAGGGCAAAUGAAGCGCUCUUGGAAUUUUGGUUCUGCCCAGCCCUCAAAGCCCCCUCUGAAUCUAUUCUCAGAUUCAGCAUCUUGGUGGGUUCCUCUGGUUCAGACCUAUUGCUUCACCUGGAUGGAGUAAGGAGUUGCUGUAAUGAUCACUGACUGCCUUCCUCCCUCCUUGGUGUUCAGCUCUUCUUUGCUCAUCUUUCUGGCCAGCCAGAGAGCCUUCUGGGCAGGAGGACCUCCAUCCACAACGGAUAAGCCAGCUCAGGGCAGGGCACAGAGCAGGUCUAAGUUAGUGUUUCUGUAAUGGGAAGCAUAAUCCAGCAUUUUCUAGGGGAUAGGAGCUCUGACUCUGCAGCGGGAUUCUUCUUGAUUUGAAUACUGGCAUUUAUCUCCCGAGCCUCCUCUUCCCAUCCUGUGAAGUGGACAGAAGCAUCUCAACAUCAGAUUGCCCAUCCCACAAUGAACUGAGAUAGUGCAUAGGAGUGUUCAGUGCAUUCCUAACAGUCAAAAUUACCAUCCUGAGAAAGAAAUUUACCAUUACCAUUUCACAUGGAUGACAUCGGAGCCUCUGUACUUUGAGGAUGGCCUAGAAGGAUAUUGGGUGAAGAAGGCAGAGAAAGCCUUCUUUUGAGGAACCAGCAUAAUCAAAGCCUAGAAGCAUUGAGAGGUCUCCUGGAGGGACUUCAGUUACCUGGGAUCUGCUUUUGCCAAAGCACACCAUGGAAUCCUAAUGGAGGGAGGGAAAGCAGGGCUGGAGUGGUCAACCAACAGUGGUCAAGUCACAGGAGGCAAUGGAUUCUGCACAGCCAAGGGACCUGAGCUCUCUUCUACAGAUGAUGGCGGAGAUGGGGGAAACUUUGAGGAUUUUCUUUAGUACAGAAAGGUAAUCACGUUUGCAUUUUGAAGGAGACUCACUCUGGCUACAGUGUGAAGUGGGAUUGGAGUGUGACCAGAUGGGAUGCUGCAAGACCGGUGGUGACAUUGAAGCUGUCUGAAAAGCAUGACAUUUUCUUGGGGGAAGUUAUAAUCCUCUGAUUUCUAAAGUCAACCAUACUUGUGUGAAGUACCUGUCUAAAUAUUCUCUUUUUACAUGAAUUAGCUAUAAAAGUAGAAGCUAACUUUGGCACAGAAAUGCAUCUGUGAGGCAGAGGAAAACAUUUCCUUUAUAACCAUUUUUUGUUCCAGUCUUCUUGCCGGGAGAGAAGAAUGCAAGAUAGAACUGAGAAAUUGGUGAAAUUUCAGGAGUUGCCAUUUUGAAGCUCUCUCUCCCAUAGAUAUGAAGCCGUAGGGUUUUGUGGGUCCUGAGUUUUUAGUGUAUUUUUUUACACAUUUAUCAUGGCCCAUCCCAAACUAAACUUUAGAAACUGGCAAAUAUUCUGGUUGCUUAGCAUGAGGGAAGGAACAGGAAGUCAAAGUUGGAGAAUGAGCAUCUGAGUUCUUGCCUCAGCGAGGCAAGAACUUGCCAGGGUGGGACUUUUUGUAGUCUCUUGACAUUUUAGAACCUACUGUAAAAUAUUCUUAAAUUAAAAAUAUGUCCCCACACUACCACUGUCUUCAUCAUCACCACCACUACUGUCAUAUCACCUAGACCAACAUCACAUCCUAACUCCCAUUCCACAGCUGAUGGUGAGUAUAAAAUGUAACCUUGUAUACAAAACGCUUUGAACUUGUCAUCAGUAGAUCAUAGCACAUACAUAAAUGUCUCCAAAAUUGCAAUGUGGAAACAUUGAUUAAAUUCAAUAUCUGGCACAUUUGGUACCGAUGAAACAUUUGCUGAAUGAAAAUAUGGCCUUUGACUAAGGUCUUUCACCCUGUAUUAUGUGGAUGCAUACUUUGUGAUACAAAAGCCAGGCAUCAUAUCCAUGGAUCCUUGCUUUCUGAUAUAGAAUAUAGCUUAAGGAGAUGUAAGCAGACUUACACCAUAAACAUUGAAAGAGCUUUGGUUCUGAUGUUAUUAGGUAAUUCCAUCCAUAUCCCAAAACAGGUCCAUAAUCUCUUAGAAUAGGGUUUGGCUCAUUAAUCAUUAAAUCCACUGUAAAACAAAGAGUUUUUCAUGUGUAUGUCUUUCCACCCAUCCAUCCAUCCAUCCAUUCAUCUAUUUUCUAGCCAUCAUGUAUUCUAUCACCUAUCUCUCCAUCAUCUGUGUAUCUAUUUGUCAUUAUAAAGAUGUUCCCUUUUUCCCAGUUAUAGGUUCUAUGUUGUCCUUUGUGCUUAAAGCUGAACUGUUCUUCCCAUCACAGAUUUCAUGUGUUUUGCACAUAAUACCCUAAAUUGCUAGGUGUUGAUGCCUCUGUUCUUUUAUUGCCAAACUGCCUGAGCCUCAGCCUUGAGCCAACUUUUCUUCUGUCAGGAAAGCCAGCUGCUUUUUCAGUAAGAAUGUUUUCUUAAAAACAGAAACAAAACAAAACAAACAAAAAUCCCAGAUAAACAGACUUCCAAACAACUUAGAAAAAAUAGUGUACACAGAGUACUUUGUCCAACUUCUCUCUUUCAGGCCCUGUGGACCACAUGUUAACCCUCUCUGGCAGAAAUUUAUUAACCUCUGUGUCUUGGCAUUUAGUACAAGGUCUGAUAUAAAAAACAAAUAUUCAUGGAGUAAAAUAUUCCUCUUCAUUACAUCUUAGAACUAGUCUAGGACUCGGAUGACUUGGUGCUUUGCUGGUUAGAGUGUAACCUCUAGAUCAGUAGCAUUGGCACCUAUGAGUUUGUGAGCACUGAGAAUCCCACGCCCAACCUUGAACCUAUUAAAUCACAAUCUUUAUUUUAAACAAACCUGGGCGAUUCAUUUGAGAAUCACUGAUCUUGUCCAAAGAUAAUGAAAUUUAGUUGAAGAUUGGAAUAAUCUAAAGAACUUUAAAAAAUAUUGAUAACAGGAUCCCAUAGCUUCAGAUUUAUUUGAUCUGGAGGUGUUGGCUGGAUAUUGAGCGUUUUGAAAGCUUCCCAUGUCAAUCAAAUAAGAGGCCAAGGUUGCAAACCAUUGAGUCC
This is a non-coding RNA of Ictidomys tridecemlineatus (thirteen-lined ground squirrel), 3333 nucleotides long. Lineage: Eukaryota; Metazoa; Chordata; Mammalia; Rodentia; Sciuridae. The record is from RefSeq and is a predicted model, not a curated record.